UUAAAUUGAAGAGUUUGAUCAUGGCUCAGAUUGAACGCUGGCGGCAGGCCUAACACAUGCAAGUCGAGCGGAAACGACUUA
RNAcentral lists this ribosomal RNA (81 nucleotides) under Vibrio chagasii. Its description in RNAcentral is "partial 16S ribosomal RNA". It matches the Rfam family "Bacterial small subunit ribosomal RNA", at positions 1 to 79 of the family's 1533-position model. Lineage: Bacteria; Pseudomonadati; Pseudomonadota; Gammaproteobacteria; Vibrionales; Vibrionaceae. The record is from RNAcentral.